GGUCUUGUAGCUCAGUUGGUCAGAGCAUUGGCCUAUAGAGGCUAGGUGUCGAGAGUUCAAAUCUCUUCGAGACCA
Daucus carota subsp. sativus is the source of this 75-nucleotide non-coding RNA. The record is from Rfam. Lineage: Eukaryota; Viridiplantae; Streptophyta; Magnoliopsida; Apiales; Apiaceae.